Molecule: unclassified non-coding RNA, 187 nt
Filed under: uncultured fungus
Lineage: Eukaryota; Fungi
Description: sequence contains ITS1, 5.8S rRNA gene
Source: RNAcentral
GAGAAAUUAUAGAAAGUUGAGCUGGCCGAAAGGCAUGUGCUUGCUUUCUAAUUAUCUAUCCAUACACCUGUGCACCUUUGGGGAGAAUGGCCAGCUAGCCUCUAGCGAGUUAUUCUCCUCGUUUUUACACAAACUCUUAUUAUAACAUUGAACGUGAUCUAGUGCCGCAAGGCCUUAAUCAAAUAUA